This 515-nucleotide ribosomal RNA is filed under the name uncultured bacterium. RNAcentral's name for it is "bacterial SSU rRNA". It matches the Rfam family "Bacterial small subunit ribosomal RNA", at positions 31 to 518 of the family's 1533-position model. The record is from RNAcentral.
GAACGCUGGCGGCGUGCCUAAUACAUGCAAGUCGAACGGUCUUUCUAUGGAAGCUUGCUUCCACUGAGAAGAUAGUGGCGAACGGGUGAGUAACACGUGGGUAACCUGCCCAUAAGAGGGGGAUAACAUCCGGAAACGGGUGCUAAUACCGCAUAGUUUUCUUGAUCGCAUGAUUGAGAAAGGAAAGACGGCCUUUGUGCUGUCGCUUAUGGAUGGACCCGCGGCGUAUUAGUUAGUUGGUGAGGUGACGGCUCACCAAGACGAUGAUACGUAGCCGACCUGAGAGGGUGAUCGGCCACAUUGGGACUGAGACACGGCCCAAACUCCUACGGGAGGCAGCAGUAGGGAAUCUUCCGCAAUGGACGAAAGUCUGACGGAGCAACGCCGCGUGAGUGAAGAAAAGGUUUUCGGAUCGUAAAACUCUGUUGUCAGAGGAGAACAAGUUGGAGAGUAACUGCUCCAGCCUUGACGGUAUCUGACCAGAAAGCCACGGCUAACUACGUGCCAGCAGCGGC